This 454-nucleotide ribosomal RNA is filed under the name uncultured bacterium. RNAcentral describes it as "bacterial SSU rRNA". It matches the Rfam family "Bacterial small subunit ribosomal RNA", at positions 335 to 797 of the family's 1533-position model. The record is from RNAcentral.
ACUCCUACGGGAGGCAGCAGUGGGGAAUCUUAGACAAUGGGGCGAACCCUCGAUCUAGCCAUGCCGCGUGAGUGAUGAAGGCCUUAGGGUUGUAAAGACUCUUUCUAGCUGGGAAGAUAAUGACGGUACCAGCAGAAGAAGCCCCGGCCUAACUCCGUGCCAGCAGCCGCGGUAAUACGGAGGGGGCGUAGCGUUGUUCGGAAUUACUGGGCGUAAAGCGCACGUAGGCGGACCAGAAAGUUGGGGGUGGAAAUCCCGGGGCUCAACCCCGGAACUGCCUUCAAACUAUUGGUCUGGAGUUCGAGAGAGGUGAGUGGAAUACCGAGUGUAGAGGUGAAAUUCGUAGAUAUUCGGUGGAACACCAGUGGCGAAGGCGGCUCACUGGCUCGAUACUGACGCUGAGGUGCGAAAGGCGUGGGGAGCAAACAGGAUUAGAUACCCUGGUAGGAUACCG